AGUGAACGCUGGCGGUAGACCUAACACAUGCAAGUCGAACGGCAGCACAGUAAGAGCUUGCUCUUACGGGUGGCGAGUGGCGGACGGGUGAGGAAUACAUCGGAAUCUACUUUUUCGUGGGGGAUAACGUAGGGAAACUUACGCUAAUACCGCAUACGACCUACGGGUGAAAGCAGGGGAUCUUCGGACCUUGCGCGAUUGAAUGAGCCGAUGUCGGAUUAGCUAGUUGGCGGGGUAAAGGCCCACCAAGGCGACGAUCCGUAGCUGGUCUGAGAGGAUGAUCAGCCACACUGGAACUGAGACACGGUCCAGACUCCUACGGGAGGCAGCAGUGGGGAAUAUUGGACAAUGGGCGCAAGCCUGAUCCAGCCAUACCGCGUGGGUGAAGAAGGCCUUCGGGUUGUAAAGCCCUUUUGUUGGGAAAGAAAAGCAGCAGGUUAAUACCCCGCUGUUCUGACGGUACCCAAAGAAUAAGUACCGGCUAACUUCGUG
RNAcentral lists this ribosomal RNA (492 nucleotides) under uncultured bacterium. Its description in RNAcentral is "partial 16S ribosomal RNA". It matches the Rfam family "Bacterial small subunit ribosomal RNA", at positions 29 to 507 of the family's 1533-position model. The record is from RNAcentral.